AAAAAAAAGAGGUCGAUCCUCCGGCUCUAUAUCCUUUAAAAAGUGGAUUUGCAUAUUGGUACCGUUGCUUCAUAGAAAGAGCAUUUUGCUUUGGCGGAUGUCGUUGUGUGGUGUCGCGUUUGCUAACGUUCGUUCCCAGCGGUCCCGUAAACAUUUAUUUUAAAACUUAAAUUCGUCCUCCCCUGCACCCGAAAGUAGUCGGCUGACUAGUCGUCGUUCCGUGGGUGUCCACAUUGGGGACGCCAUGUCCACAUUGGGGAUGCGUGGUCGUGUAUCUCAUGCCACUACCAAUCGUUGCCUACCUGGGUGCCGGCGGGAUGCCCACGCAGUUCGUCUACAUCUUCCGCCGCUUGGCAAGUGCAUGUCUUGCGGACUGGGUACGUGUGCCGUACAAGCCCACGCCUCGGCGAAGGUUUACCUGCCGCAGUGGUGCGCACACGUAUUUAACGACAGUGGCAGGCGAGUUGGCGGUGACGCUCUCCCUCCAUGCCAUGCCACCAUCGCGACGGGAUGGCUCCCUGCCCCCGCUUGGGGAACUAUCAAAGCCAUUACUAGGCUUGACCAGCGGUUGGCGAUGAUGUAAAUAACGAAGAAAACAACCGCAUUCGCCACUCGCCAUGUUGCUGACAUUUUGUGUCCGACGCACCCACAUGGAGCCAUAUGUGGAGCAGGGAUGGCCUCGGGGCGCCGACAAUACUAUUGGGCCGCGCCUGAUCAAAAAUGUCUUUGGGGCACAUGGCUGGGUGCGAUUUUCUAUUGGCGUACCCGAAAGGUCUUUCGGGGAUAGUUUGGGGGCGAGGAGGGCACGGCUGUGCACCAUUGGUAAAGCAUUUCUCCUCGCAUUAAAUGGGUGAAAUCUAUGCAAAAAAGUUUUAAUAAUUUAAAAAUACUACAGAUCAUCACUGAAAAUCGUCACAUGCAUGUCACAGACACACAAAGAACUUGAAGCAUGAACACGGCAUUUAUAAUAAACGCCCUGAGUCAACCACUAGUAGGAAAAAUGUUAUAGGAGAAGAUCGACCGGAAGCGGGCAGGAUUUUACAACUACUUUUUCGCAGCAGAGUGUUAAAGGGGCACGCGAGUAGUAUGUCCUCGCUAGUAGCGCACCAUCAACCAGUGCACACGGCAAAUACGAUGGGCUCGUCGAAACAUGGGAUCAGAAUUUAUCCGCAGUGAGCCACUUAAGGGUAUGUACAAUGAUAGGGAAGACACGUCUUCUCUUAGCAGUCCAUGUCAUCUAGAGAGGAAGAUACAUAUAAUCUGUACAAUGUAUUAUCUCUUAUUGUUAUCCCUUGUAAUAAAUGAUAAUUAAUUAUUUUUAGUAGGAAAUUAUGUGACUAAGGGAAGACAAGUCGUACAAUGGGGAAAAUAGCCUUAUCUUAUUUCAUAAGAGAUCAUCCCUUAGCUAAGAGAAGACAACCUUCUCUCUCUUUAUUCUCUCUCCUCCAACUAAGCAAAAAUCUAACGUGACAAGUGUAAGGAAAGGCUGACAAGCAUAAGGGAAGGCUGACAUCACCCUAUUGUACGUGCCCUUACAAAUGUUGACAGAUAUAAACACUUGUUUCCUUCUAGUCGAUGUAGCAUUCGAAUUUUUGUCAAAAAGGACCAUCUGCCCCACUGAAAUGCCAAAAAGGACCACCCCUGAGUGUAAAUGGCAAAAGUGCCGCGGCGGCACGCUAGCCAGGCGACACGUGGAAGGUGCCGCCGCCGGCUGCGUGUGGCGGCACGUCCGCCUGCCAUGGUCGCCGUCCGUCGGCCGUUAGCGCCCUCGAGCCUGGUGGGCCCUGCCGCCACAGGGCGCGGCGGCACGCUGGCGUGGCGCCUGCCUCCACCAGCCGUGGCGGCAAGUAGUCGGCCUGGGGGACAAAGACAGCAGGCUUGCGCCUCGUUGUGCGUGUGACUGAUUCUCACGAAUAUUUUGCUUUGACGUGUGAUGAUUCCCUAUGUUUUUUGGCUUUGGCCCGUGAAUGGAGCUGCACUAUCAGUAUGGGUGUAACUGAUUCCCAGGCAUUAGUCCUGUACAGUGUGAUUCUGAGACAUGAAGCGACGUCCGCCGCUGAUACAGGAACUACAACAUCGAAAGAGCUUCGGUCUCUGCAUGCUUUAAAGCAGUAGCUGCUCACUCAGCUUGUGUCUGUGCAUGCUAUAAAGCAGCAUCCUCUCUUCGCAGACGAGCUCACAUACCUGCAUGCUUUAAACCAGCAUCCUCUCUUCCCAGACGAGCAGCGUCUCUCGUGAGUUGACUAGAAGCAGAAGAGAACCAGCAUCCUCCAUGCAUCGAUAAAGCUGCAUGCUUGAUGGUUAAGCGCAUGCAUGCUUUUGAUUAGUACAUGAAGGUGGAUUCGAGCAGACACCCGCUCUCUUAGAAGUGCAGUGUUUCUGUAGUUGCUGAUUGGUAUUAUUAUUUGGAAUAUUUCGCGGCGUAAAUUAUUUUUGGAAGAACAUCUAUCUGCAAAUUGAGGUGAUGACGUCGCAGUAUGGCGCAGACGACCAGUAUGUACGAGCAGUAUGGCGCGUACGAGCAACAUUGCGCGUACGAGCCAACCUCCUCCGCGGAAUCCAUCAUAUGCACGCGUCGACUCAUCUCUACUUGACCGCUCACAAUCAGCUCGCAUUUCUCCACCACAUGGUGGCACACAAGAGGAUAAUAUUUUCUCUACUAAUCCGUUCGGGGAACGAUAUUCAUACACCCAAGGGGAGACUUCAAACAUCGAGAACACUACUCGCUAAUCUGUUGAACCUAACUGGUCAGAGAUGGAAGCUGGACUCGGCUACAAUAUGCCUCCUCCACAGGUUCUUUCAAUUUUAGGGCUCCUUUGAUUUAAAGGAUAGGAAAAGCAUAGGAAUAAGAAAGGUAUAGGAUUGGAAUGGCAUGUCUACUUGAAAAAUAUAGGAAGAUGAAGUUUGUUUGAUUGUAGCAAAGGAAUUUUUCCAUGAGG
Molecule: non-coding RNA, 2939 nt
Organism: Lolium perenne
Lineage: Eukaryota; Viridiplantae; Streptophyta; Magnoliopsida; Poales; Poaceae
Source: RefSeq, a predicted model, not a curated record